This 427-nucleotide ribosomal RNA is filed under the name uncultured bacterium. RNAcentral describes it as "bacterial SSU rRNA". It matches the Rfam family "Bacterial small subunit ribosomal RNA", at positions 355 to 774 of the family's 1533-position model. The record is from RNAcentral.
UGGGGAAUAUUGGACAAUGGGCGCAAGCCUGAUCCAGCAAUGCCGCGUGGGUGAAGAAGGCCUUCGGGUUGUAAAGCCCUUUUGUACGGGAAGAAAUCCUGUCGGUUAAUACCCGGCGGGGAUGACGGUACCGUAAGAAUAAGCACCGGCUAACUUCGUGCCAGCAGCCGCGGUAAUACGAAGGGUGCAAGCGUUAAUCGGAAUUACUGGGCGUAAAGCGUGCGUAGGCGGUUCGUUAAGUCUGUCGUGAAAGCCCUGGGCUCAACCUGGGAAUGGCGAUGGAUACUGGCGAGCUAGAGUCAGGUAGAGGGUGGCGGAAUUCCCGGUGUAGCGGUGAAAUGCGUAGAGAUCGGGAGGAACAUCUGUGGCGAAGGCGGCCACCUGGACCAUGACUGACGCUGAGGCACGAAAGUGUGGGGAUCAAACA